RNAcentral lists this ribosomal RNA (404 nucleotides) under uncultured bacterium. Its description in RNAcentral is "bacterial SSU rRNA". It matches the Rfam family "Bacterial small subunit ribosomal RNA", at positions 355 to 776 of the family's 1533-position model. The record is from RNAcentral.
UGGGGAAUAUUGGACAAUGGGCGCAAGCCUGAUCCAGCAAUGCCGCGUGGGUGAAGAAGGUCUUCGGAUUGUAAAGCCCUUUCGACGGGGACGAUGAUGACGGUACCCGUAGAAGAAGCCCCGGCUAACUUCGUGCCAGCAGCCGCGGUAAUACGAAGGGGGCUAGCGUUGCUCGGAAUUACUGGGCGUAAAGGGCGCGUAGGCGGCCCCUCAAGUCAGGCGUGAAAUUCCCGGGCUCAACCUGGGGACUGCGCUUGAGACUGGGGGGCUAGAGGCCGAGAGAGGGUGGUGGAAUUCCCAGUGUAGAGGUGAAAUUCGUAGAUAUUGGGAAGAACACCGGUGGCGAAGGCGGCCACCUGGCUCGGUACUGACGCUGAGGCGCGACAGCGUGGGGAGCAAACAGG